ACUUAAGUAGUUUAUAUUAGAAUAGUAUUUUGUGGGAAUAUUGGAGUUAUUUUAACCUUGGGUU
This 64-nucleotide transfer RNA is filed under the name Myrmoplasta mira. Its description in RNAcentral is "tRNA-His". The record is from RNAcentral. Lineage: Eukaryota; Metazoa; Arthropoda; Insecta; Hemiptera; Pyrrhocoridae.